Molecule: ribosomal RNA, 477 nt
Filed under: uncultured bacterium
Lineage: Bacteria
Description: partial 16S ribosomal RNA
Rfam family: Bacterial small subunit ribosomal RNA
Source: RNAcentral
GAUUAACGCUGGCGGCGUGCAUAACACAUGCAAGUCGAACGAUGAAACUUAAAUGAUUUCUUCGGAAUGAACUUAAGUGAAUUAGUGGCGGACGGGUGAGUGACGCGUGAGUAACCUGCCUUACACAAGGGGAUAGCCGUUGGAAACGACGAAUAAUACCCUAUGAAACUAUCACUUCGCAUGAAGCGAUAGUCAAAGUGUUAGCGGUGUAAGAUGGACUUGCGUCUGAUUAGCUAGUUGGUGAGAAAAAAGCCCACCAAGGCAACGAUCAGUAGCCGGCUUGAGAGAGUGUACGGCCACAUUGGGACUGAGACACGGCCCAGACUCCUACGGGAGGCAGCAGUGGGGAAUUUUGCACAAUGGGGGAAACCCUGAUGCAGCGACGCCGCGUGAUUUAGAAGGCCUUCGGGUUGUAAAAAUCUUUUGUAUAGGAAGAAAAUGACAGUACUAUACGAAUAAGGUCCGGCUAAUUACGUG